CUUUUUUCUAUACAUUCAUUUUGUUAUGAAAUAUUACAUAGAUUAAUCUGUUAUAAAGAGGUUCCAUAAACAGUCCAGGUUCAACACAUUGAUGUUCUUAAACAGCUUCUGUCUGGAUUUACCCAAACUCACUCAAAUUUGGGAUUAAGCUUUGUAAACUUAUCAAGAAACUAAAGACCAUAUAUGACAUGGGGCUCUUGCAAGAGAUAAGCCUACACCAGUGAAACCUGGUUAAAGGGUAUACAAUUUCGAUUUAAUAUAUCUGUAUAUAUUUAUAUAUAUGUAUAUAUCUAGAAUACAUGCUAUUAAUAAUAAUAUAGAAUACAAUGCAUAUUCAUAUACAUUCACAUUAUAUAAGAAGCCAAGAUUUCUCCCAACUUUAUGUGAACGAUUUGCUUAUGAUAAUGUUUUAUCCACUAUUGGUUUUUUUUUCCCCCAUACCAAUUUAAGUAUAGACUUUAAUGGUAUCUGAUAAAAAAAAUAAUAAUAUUGGAGGUACUGGUUGGAUGAAAGGUCGAUUCAUUGGGGUGAACAAAUCUGUUAAUAGUGGUAAAUUGCUUAUAAAUAAAAUGUGAGAAUUUUGCUUUAGAGCUGCGAUUCUUAAAUCAAACCUGGAAAAUUGCCAAAACACCAGGAUUUAGGGAUUGUACCAUUAUAUAUUAUGAGGAUAUUGAUCAAAUCCAGAAUUGUAAUAUCAAUAAAACCUGGCCUGUAAGUUCUCCUUUAGGACUGGCUUGAGAAUCGCUGGUCUAGAGCAUCCAGUUUAAGAAAAUAGUUGACUUGUUCUGUUACAUGAAACUAUGUGUCUAAGACUCUGUACUACAAUGUGAGUGGCUGAGUGCUUUCCUUAUAAAUUGUCCUUUGUCUCAAUAUAAAGCAACACUCACAUGCAAAUUUAUAGAACCGUAUCUUGAGAAAUUCGAUAACACUUGACCCUAAUAACUAGCCCUAUAAUAUCUCUGACUUUUAACUUAUUAGGGACCACGAGCAAUAAAUAUAAUCAUGAAAAUGAACUCCUAAAAUCUGUAUUCCAUCGUGGCAUGUCCUACUAAUUUAUCAAAACAGACCUUUACUGACCAUCUAAUGCUAAAUGGGCAGAACAUACCACAUCCAUAAGGAUUAAACUAUUAUGGCAUACACCGUUAUUGGCCCUUAGUGGGUUAUUCACUUUAAAGUCAUUGUCCCAAAUUCAUCAGAUAUAUUUAUAUCAUACAUAUUAAAGAGUUCAUGCAAGUUGGACAUUGCGAAAUCUUAGCAUCCAUCCAAAAUGUUUGGUUUGUUAUUAAUCAAAUAAAUUUUUCACUUUGUUAUAAACCAGUUGUUCCUAAAUCCAUACUUUCAAUUUCCAAUAUCAAACAGGUUAGAGCAAGUAAAGACAUUAUUAGCUGCACACUUAGCGUAUUGUUAAGUAAACCCAAUCAAGGUUAACAUUCCUUGGUACACAUGAUGCAAAAGAGCCCAGUUGCUGGAAAUGUAUUGCAGAAAGGCACAAAAGACGAGAUGAUGUUGCUGUAUUGCUGUUUAGAAGAUGCUCCUUCAUCUCUUUGGCAGUUCAUGAUUUCUGUCCUUUACUUGUUACAUUCCUGAUUGCUGAAAUGCUAAGCUUUACAAAUAAUGCUUAUGUACUAAUGCUAUAAUUUCUCUAACUUGGAAUUGGAUUCAGUAUGUAGUGGCUGUACCAAAGAAUUCUGAGAUUAAAAUUCCUACCAAUAUGUAAUAUCCAGUCCAGAGAGCAAGAAGAAGAUGGUAUUUUACACUGACUAGUUCUAGGGUACAUUUUGGGGUAUAUUUAGCAAGGUACAGUACAAAGUUUAUCAGGCGUGUUUGGUAAAAAUAAUUGUGGCAGUUUGUUAUACCGUUUACAGACAAUAUAAUAAAACAACAAACUAAAAGACCCUUGCUGAAAUAAAUAGGCGUAGGUAGCUAUGUUAAAGGGACACUAUAGGCACCCAGGGCACUUCAGCUCAUUGACGUGGUCUUGGUGCACUUACCCUGUCUUUUUAACCCUGGAAUUGUAAUUAUUACAGUUAUUGAGAAACUGCAAUAAUUAACUUGCAGGGUUAACUCUACCUCUAGUGGCUGUCUACCAGACAACCACAAGAGGCGCUUCAGGGUGGUUAGACGACUUUAGGCUCGCCGUCCAUAUGCAUUAGGUUGCCUCCGCCUGCUGACGUCGGCAGGGGAGAAGCGGAGGUGGAGCCUGACCCAGCACCAAGUGAGAUUGGCGCUGGAUUCAGGUAAGUGACAAAAGGGUUUUUAACCCUUUCAUUACUAGGUGGAGGGGAGAGGGCUGCAAGCAAGAGGGACACUAUAGACAACUUUGUAUUCCUAGCAUUACAGUUUCCCUUUAACUGUAAGUAAUAAGAUCAACUUUGGAGGGUACUGAGAUUUUAACAUCUAGAUCAGAGGUUCCCAAACUGUGUGCCGCAAGCUAUUUUCAUGGUGCUAUGAUCAUAUUAGCGGGAACUGUGCUCUCCCCAGAGAUCUCCCUCUCCGGCCCGCUAGCACUUUGCUGGCAGCCGACAGGGAGGGAGGGAGAGAGGACUCGGGGGUGCUCUAACCUGCAGCUCCGCCGGGCUCUCCUCUUGUUAGCUCGGAGCGUUGGCGUGGUUAUCACGGCAUCACUCCGAAUCUCGCGAGAGUGAGCUCUAGCAGCUCCUGAGGCUGCUAGAGUUCACUGUCACCACCAGGUCCACCAGGGAUUGCAGGAAAUGCCCCCCCUCCUAGGCAAAUAUAAACAGGGAGGGGGGGG
Molecule: long non-coding RNA, 2752 nt
Filed under: Pelobates cultripes (western spadefoot toad)
Lineage: Eukaryota; Metazoa; Chordata; Amphibia; Anura; Pelobatidae
Source: RNAcentral